RNAcentral lists this small RNA (27 nucleotides) under Bombyx mori (domestic silkworm). RNAcentral's name for it is "piRNA piR-bmo-1367514". Lineage: Eukaryota; Metazoa; Arthropoda; Insecta; Lepidoptera; Bombycidae. The record is from RNAcentral.
UAUUGUUGAGUAACGUUGUUCUGUGUC